This 468-nucleotide ribosomal RNA is filed under the name uncultured bacterium. RNAcentral describes it as "partial 16S ribosomal RNA". It matches the Rfam family "Bacterial small subunit ribosomal RNA", at positions 28 to 507 of the family's 1533-position model. The record is from RNAcentral.
GACGAACGCUGGCGGCGUGCUUAACACAUGCAAGUCGAACGGAAAGGCCCUGCUUUUGUGGGGUGCUCGAGUGGCGAACGGGUGAGUAACACGUGAGUAACCUGCCCUUGACUUUGGGAUAACUUCAGGAAACUGGGGCUAAUACCGGAUAGGAGCUCCUGCUGCAUGGUGGGGGUUGGAAAGUUUCGGCGGUUGGGGAUGGACUCGCGGCUUAUCAGCUUGUUGGUGGGGUAGUGGCUUACCAAGGCUUUGACGGGUAGCCGGCCUGAGAGGGUGACCGGCCACAUUGGGACUGAGAGACGGCCCAGACUCCUACGGGGGGCAGCGGUGGGAAGUAUUGCACAAUGGGCGGAAGCCUGAUGCAGCAACGCCGCGUGCGGGAUGACGGCCUUCGGGUUGUGAACCGCUUUCGCCUGUGACGAAGCGUGAGUGACGGUAAUGGGUAAAGAAGCACCGGCUAACUACGUG